GCCUGGUUGGCUCAGUCGGUUGAGCGUCUGACUUCGGCUCAGGUCACUGUCUUGCAGUUCAUGAGUUUGAGCCCAUGUCGGGCU
Molecule: transfer RNA, 84 nt
Filed under: Felis catus (domestic cat)
Lineage: Eukaryota; Metazoa; Chordata; Mammalia; Carnivora; Felidae
Rfam family: tRNA
About the family: Transfer RNA (tRNA) molecules are approximately 80 nucleotides in length. Their secondary structure includes four short double-helical elements and three loops (D, anti-codon, and T loops).
Source: Rfam by way of RNAcentral